AGUAUUCCAUUUGCAUUAGCUU
This 22-nucleotide small nuclear RNA is filed under the name Arabidopsis thaliana (thale cress). RNAcentral describes it as "snRNA_17915". The record is from RNAcentral. Lineage: Eukaryota; Viridiplantae; Streptophyta; Magnoliopsida; Brassicales; Brassicaceae.